Molecule: ribosomal RNA, 273 nt
Filed under: uncultured bacterium
Lineage: Bacteria
Description: partial 16S ribosomal RNA
Rfam family: Bacterial small subunit ribosomal RNA
Source: RNAcentral
UACGUAGGGUGCAAGCGUUAAUCGGAAUUACUGGGCGUAAAGCGUGCGCAGGCGGUCUUGCAAGACAGAUGUGAAAUCCCCGGGCUCAACCUGGGAACUGCAUUUGUGACUGCAAGGCUGGAGUGCGGCAGAGGGGGAUGGAAUUCCGCGUGUAGCAGUGAAAUGCGUAGAUAUGCGGAGGAACACCGAUGGCGAAGGCAAUCCCCUGGGCCUGCACUGACGCUCAUGCACGAAAGCGUGGGGAGCAAACAGGAUUAGAAACCCCCGUAGUCC